CGGCGGACGGGUGAGUAACGCGUGGAUAACCUGCCUCACACAGGGGGAGUAACAGUUAGAAAUGACUGCUAAUACCCGCAUAAGCGCACGGUACCGCAUGGUACAGUGUGAAAAACUACCGGUGGUGUGAGAUGGAUCCGCGUCUGAUUAGGUAGUUGGUGAGGUAACGGCCCACCAAGCCGACGAUCAGUAGCCGACCUGAGAGGGUGACCGGCCACAUUGGGACUGAGACACGGCCCAAACUCCUACGGGAGGCAGCAUG
RNAcentral lists this ribosomal RNA (262 nucleotides) under uncultured bacterium. RNAcentral describes it as "partial 16S ribosomal RNA". It matches the Rfam family "Bacterial small subunit ribosomal RNA", at positions 96 to 353 of the family's 1533-position model. The record is from RNAcentral.